CUGGGGAGAAAUAUAAGCCGUAGGCAGACGUCCUGCUGUAUGGUUCGAGAUCGCUGCCUCUACCAGAACUGUUGUGCUUCUCUGCUUGGUCUUCACGGUGGUGGCCGCGAUGCCACACGAUUCUGAAGACGUGCCGCAGCCAGCGCUGCCUAGCGGAGAUGUCAGCAACCAGGAGAGUAUACAGACAGCAGUGGGCGCCAAACCUCCCACGGAGGACUUGGAAGACCGCAGGAUACGCUUAGAACCCAUAUCUUCUGAGCGAGCUGCCGGCAAAUGCAAGAACAGAUGUUUCGUUUUCAUUUAAAGUUUUUUGUCUCGAGUAUCAAUAACUUGUAAAUACUAUUUGUGGAUCUAUAUGAAGAGCUUUUAGUUCCCAUCGUACAAACGAAUACACAUUACAAACGAAUAAAUGAAUUUUAGCAUUCAA
Long non-coding RNA from Schistocerca cancellata (South American locust), 427 nucleotides. RefSeq lists it as uncharacterized. The transcript has 2 exons. The record is from RefSeq and is a predicted model, not a curated record. NCBI's taxonomy places the organism in Eukaryota, Metazoa, Arthropoda, Insecta, Orthoptera, Acrididae.